GGAAGCUUCCCCUCCAAAGAAGCUUGCUAUUUUCCCUUGGAAUUUGCUAAAGGAGAAACCGCCGACCAGAGAAAACUUAAACAAGAUGUUGAAGCACUUGCCAAAAGAGUGUGAUCUUUGUGGACAAACAGGGAUACAGACAUCUCUUCUUCACUUGUCCGAGAGCCAUAGAUUUCUGGAUUCACUCUCCUCUUCGAUUGAGAUCCCAUAUGCUUAUUGGAGAGUCUCUUAUGGAUAUGGUUUGAGAUAACUUCCUAUCUUUCAAACUAGGUAAAUGGCUCUGAAUUCUUAGUCUUACUAGCCUUCCUUUUUUGGCACCUGCGGAAAAGCAGGAUAGCUAUAUAUGCUUUCAGCCGCUAGGAGAUCCCUUCCACUCAUUCUAUUCAGGGGCAAUUAAUCAUAAUGAGGAUUUUAUGGUAGCUCAGGUGCAAUUGAAAUCUCAGUUGAAUGAUUUUGCUAGCCGCCCAAGGCAUCUAGACCUGAGUAUCAUAACGGAUAUCAAGUCUUCAUCAGACUUCUUCAACACUCUUUUCUUCUCCUUUGUUAGAAGGAGCUGCAAACUGCAAAGCAGCUCAUACUUUAGCGUCCUGAGCUCUACAUAAUUUCUUCUUUUAUUUUUAACCCCUUAGCAAGUGUUCUUUAUUUCAACUCUUAUGCCACACUAGUGGCUUUCUUAUUUAUAUUUGAUAAAAAAAAUUCAAUAAAAUUA
RNAcentral lists this unclassified non-coding RNA (709 nucleotides) under Hevea brasiliensis (rubber tree). The record is from RNAcentral. Lineage: Eukaryota; Viridiplantae; Streptophyta; Magnoliopsida; Malpighiales; Euphorbiaceae.